This 129-nucleotide unclassified non-coding RNA is filed under the name uncultured fungus. RNAcentral describes it as "sequence contains ITS1". Lineage: Eukaryota; Fungi. The record is from RNAcentral.
CGUAAUUAUGGUGGAUUUGGCAGGAGACAUUUCGCCAUUACUGGAACUGGAUAGCGACACAUUGCGCGAGCGUUUAUAUACCGCAAAAACCGAUCUUGGCGAUAACGCCGCCGUUCCGGUUAAGCUGGU